Solea senegalensis (Senegalese sole) is the source of this 1594-nucleotide long non-coding RNA. RefSeq lists it as uncharacterized. The transcript is spliced from 2 exons. The record is from RefSeq and is a predicted model, not a curated record. Lineage: Eukaryota; Metazoa; Chordata; Actinopteri; Pleuronectiformes; Soleidae.
UGAGACUGGUGACAGGGGAGACUGAGAUGAGAGGUGAGACUGUGGAAGUGAGAGGGUGAGACUGGAGAUGAAAAGGUGAGACUGUGGAGCUGAGAGGGUGAGACUGGAGAUGAGACUGUGGGUGACAGGGUGAGACUGUGGAGAUGAGAGGGUGAGACUGGUGACAGGGUGAGACUGUGGAGGUGAGAGGGUGAGACUGUGGAGAUGAAAGGGUGAGACUGAUGACAGGGUGAGACUGGAGGUGAGACUGGAGAUGAGAGGGUGAGACUGGUGACAGGGUGAGACUGUGGAGAUGAAAGGGUGAGACUGAUGACCGGGUGAGACUGGAGAUGAGAGGGUGAGACUGGAAAUGAGAGGAUAAGGUGAGGGGGUGACAAGAUGAUAUUGGGAAAUGAGAGGAUGAGACUGAAGAGACAGUCUACGAUGACUGGGUUAUGUAGUGUUGCAUAAUUCCAGCAGGUGGCAGUGGAAGAGUGAAAGAAAAUGUACUUCCUGUUCACACUGACGUUCACACGCUCAUGUGUCAGAUGAUUUUCAUCUGAAAACAGGCGUGUGGAUGUUUUCAUCCUGUGAAGACUUUAAUUUAUUCAUUCAUUCAUUCACCGUUCAUCUCGUGUUAAUGCUAGUGUGUGAAGAAAAGAGUAAACGUCUUCAGAAAAAUCUCUCGUCACACGCAAAGGUUAACGUUCAUCUGGACGGUUCCUCCUUUCCUCGUCUCCUCGUCUCCUCGUCUCCUCGUCAUCUUCAUGAGUUGUGUCCAGUGCGUGACUUAAGGCAGCUGUGAGUCAGGAGGAGGAGGAGGAGGAGGAGGAGGAGGAGGAAUGAUGCUGGUAAACACAGGUGAGCGUCACAGAUGAUGACCUCAGUGAUGGGUCAGAGGUCAGAGGUCAGCUUUAAUGAUGAGUCUGUUCCUGAUGACGAUCUCUGCCUUCAUCGUCCACACUCACGAGGUGACCCUCGUCCUCCUCCGUCCUCUCCAAGGGUCACAUGGCGAGGGGCGGAGUCACAUCACAGGAGUGCCAGCAGUGAGGCAUGAAACAGAAGAGUUAAACGUAACCACGUCGAUUUAACCGAGCGCGAGGGAGAAUAUCUGCCUCGCUGCCGAGGCCCCGGGGGCCCCCGGGGGCCCGGCCCUCACCCUCUCCCUCUGUUGCUGCUCUCACGGCGACACAGUGGUGGGUUUGUGUUGGGGACGAGACAAAGACAGGAUGGGGCUGAAUCUACACCUUUCCCCCACAAAGCUGUUUCCUCCUGGGUGCAAUUUUCACCUUUUGUUGGAGGUGACUGUGACGGGUGAGGAGAGAAAAGACUGGAAACACCUCUGUGCUCCGCAGCUGUCUGCUAAUUCUUUAAUUCCCCACCCGGUAAUUAUAAUUCUUUAUCUCUGCAGUCACGCAAGAUAAUGGAAAUUGUAUAGUAAUAAGUCUGAGGUUCACACGUGUUUAUAGAUGCUGAGGGUUCUUCAGAGCACAUGUGGUGCCAACACUUCAUUUUCAGCCUCUGCUAAUGAAUGUGGGCGGGGCUUUGUUUCUAUUAUGGAGCAAUUAAGAGAAAAUAAAAGAUAAACUGGAGGAUUCAUAAAACACAAGAGGGA